GAUGAACGCUAGCGGCAGGCCUAACACAUGCAAUUCGAGGGGUAGAGGAAGCUUGCUUCCUUGAGACCGGCGCACGGGUGCGUAACGCGUAUGCAAUCUACCUUGUACAGAGGGAUAGCCCAGAGAAAUUUGGAUUAAUACCUCAUAGUAUUAUUGAAUGGCAUCAUUUAAUAAUUAAAGUUCCAACGGUACAAGAUGAGCAUGCGUCCUAUUAGCUAGUUGGUGUGGUAACGGCAUACCAAGGCUACGAUAGGUAGGGGUCCUGAGAGGGAGAUCCCCCACACUGGUACUGAGACACGGACCAGACUCCUACGGGAGGCAGCAGUGAGGAAUAUUGGACAAUGGGCGCAAGCCUGAUCCAGCCAUGCCGCGUGCAGGAAGACGCAUCUAUGGUGUGUAAACUGCUUUUGUGCGGGAAGAAACACUCCCUCGUGAGGGAGCUUGACGGUACCGUAAGAAUAAGGAUCGGCUAACUCCGUGCCAGCAGCCGCGGUAAUACGGAGGAUCCAAGCGUUAUCCGGAAUCAUUGGGUUUAAAGGGUCCGUAGGCGGUUUAAUAAGUCAGUGGUGAAAGCCCAUCGCUCAACGAUGGAACGGCCAUUGAUACUGUUAGACUUGAAUUACAAGGAAGUAACUAGAAUAUGUAGUGUAGCGGUGAAAUGCUUAGAUAUUACAUGGAAUACCAAUUGCGAAGGCAGGUUACUACUUGUGGAUUGACGCUGAUGGACGAAAGCGUGGGGAGCGAACAGG
Molecule: ribosomal RNA, 749 nt
Filed under: uncultured Flavobacteriales bacterium
Lineage: Bacteria; Pseudomonadati; Bacteroidota; Flavobacteriia; Flavobacteriales
Description: bacterial SSU rRNA
Rfam family: Bacterial small subunit ribosomal RNA
Source: RNAcentral